Molecule: ribosomal RNA, 468 nt
Filed under: uncultured bacterium
Lineage: Bacteria
Description: partial 16S ribosomal RNA
Rfam family: Bacterial small subunit ribosomal RNA
Source: RNAcentral
GACGAACGCUGGCGGCGUGCUUAACACAUGCCAGUCGAACGGAAAGGCCCUGCUUUUGUGGGGUGCUCGAGUGGCGAACGGGUGAGUAACACGUGAGUAACCUGCCCUUGACUUUGGGAUAACUUCAGGAAACUGGGGCUAAUACCGGAUAGGAGCUCCUGCUGCAUGGUGGGGGUUGGAAAGUUUCGGCGGUUGGGGAUGGACUCGCGGCUUAUCAGCUUGUUGGUGGGGUAGUGGCUUACCAAGGCUUUGACGGGUAGCCGGCCUGAGAGGGUGACCGGCCAAAUUGGGAAUGAGAUCCGGCAAAGACUCCUACGGGAGGCAGCAGUGGGGAAUAUUGCAAAAUGGGCGGAAGCCUGAUGCAGCAACGCCGCAUGCGGGAUGACGGCCUUCGGGUUGUAAACCGCUUUCGCAUGUGACGAAGCGUGAGUGACGGUAAUGGGUAAAGAAGCACCGGCUAACUACGUG